CACAGCCUGCAGGAACGCAGGCCAGCUGUCUAGUACAUAGCAUGCUGAAUUUGGACUUUGGACUCAAGUUCUAAUCCUACAUCUCUCAGAGGUUAGCUCAACAUCUUGGACAGCUUCUGCAUCUGUAAAGGUCUUAUUAUAGCAUCCCCUUGGCCCUGGGACCUGUGAUCUUCAUUGGAAAAAUUCAAGUAACAUUCUCAGUGACCUCGUGAGUAAACAGACGAUGAACUCAGUCUAGAGAGGUUUGCUGCCUCAGACUCAGCCACCUGGAACCCCAAAUCCCAUGCUCAAAGCUACCAUGAAGCUCGCCGGAUAGAAAGUCUCAGAGUCCCUCUUGCUGUUAUCUGGCAUCUCUUCGAGGGACAUCCAUUUCUGUGUCCACAUUUCUGAAAUGAGACAUAGCCAGCUGCAAAAUUAAUGAUUUAAUCUGGCUUGAAUACUACUUCAAACUCCAAACUGUUUACAAACAUAAUAAAAGAUAAUGAAGAAAAAUUUGAA
Molecule: non-coding RNA, 498 nt
Organism: Myodes glareolus (Bank vole)
Lineage: Eukaryota; Metazoa; Chordata; Mammalia; Rodentia; Cricetidae
Source: RefSeq, a predicted model, not a curated record